UAAACGGCCCUUUUCAGGGCCACAUAAAUUGUAAACACA
Molecule: non-coding RNA, 39 nt
Organism: Trachymyrmex cornetzi
Lineage: Eukaryota; Metazoa; Arthropoda; Insecta; Hymenoptera; Formicidae
Source: Rfam